GAAUUAUAAGGGAUUGUAUAUCGAAAUGUACCUUUGAAAAACUCUACCCUUACAUAAAACUGUUGGACAUUCAUCAUCGACUGUUCAAACUGAAAUCACUUCAGAUGAAGAGUAUUGUUCAUUUGUGGAAAUAUGUUCUUGUAGAUGAUAUAAGAUUUGAAGUAAACUCUCUAUUAAUACCAGAUGAACUACUGUUAGAAGUAGAUUACAACCCGCUUAGAAUUCCAUCUUCAGUUUAUGCCUGUUUUCUUUUUUUUCUUUGUCAUUAUAAUUUAAAUGAUGCCAGACAAUGUCGGGAUAGCCUCCAAGUUCUACAACUUGUUACAGAAUACAAUUAUUUAAAUGCAGAUAUGGACGCAAAAGCCGCAGCCUAUAAUCUUCUUGGUGUUGCUUUACAGACAGUAGGUGAAACUGAAACCGCACGACAAGCGUACUUACUAUCUGCUAAAUUACAUAUAGAUCCAACCGACAAUCCUGCCGUAAAGAGACUUUUUUUUUGGACUAAUUUGACUCUGUUCAUAAAUUUUCAGUUAAGUUAUUAUUUCAAUAUUGCAUGUACACGUG
Molecule: long non-coding RNA, 564 nt
Filed under: Mytilus galloprovincialis (Mediterranean mussel)
Lineage: Eukaryota; Metazoa; Mollusca; Bivalvia; Mytilida; Mytilidae
Source: RNAcentral